This 253-nucleotide ribosomal RNA is filed under the name uncultured bacterium. Its description in RNAcentral is "partial 16S ribosomal RNA". It matches the Rfam family "Bacterial small subunit ribosomal RNA", at positions 524 to 776 of the family's 1533-position model. The record is from RNAcentral.
UACGGAGGGUGCAAGCGUUAAUCGGAAUUACUGGGCGUAAAGCGUACGCAGGCGGUUGUUUAAGUCAGAUGUGAAAUCCCCGGGCUCAACCCGGGAAAUGCAUCUGUGACUGGACGGCUAGAGUCUUGUAGAGGGGGGUAGAAUUCCAUGUGUAGCGGUGAAAUGUGUAGAGAUGUGGAGGAAUACCGGUGGCGAAGGCGGCCCCCUGGACAAAGACUGACGCUCAGGUGCGAAAGCGUGGGGAGCAAACAGG